RNAcentral lists this ribosomal RNA (627 nucleotides) under Lactobacillus acidophilus. RNAcentral describes it as "bacterial SSU rRNA". It matches the Rfam family "Bacterial small subunit ribosomal RNA", at positions 61 to 655 of the family's 1533-position model. The record is from RNAcentral. Lineage: Bacteria; Bacillati; Bacillota; Bacilli; Lactobacillales; Lactobacillaceae.
GUCGAGCGAGCUGAACCAACAGAUUCACUUCGGUGAUGACGUUGGGAACGCGAGCGGCGGAUGGGUGAGUAACACGUGGGGAACCUGCCCCAUAGUCUGGGAUACCACUUGGAAACAGGUGCUAAUACCGGAUAAGAAAGCAGAUCGCAUGAUCAGCUUAUAAAAGGCGGCGUAAGCUGUCGCUAUGGGAUGGCCCCGCGGUGCAUUAGCUAGUUGGUAGGGUAACGGCCUACCAAGGCAAUGAUGCAUAGCCGAGUUGAGAGACUGAUCGGCCACAUUGGGACUGAGACACGGCCCAAACUCCUACGGGAGGCAGCAGUAGGGAAUCUUCCACAAUGGACGAAAGUCUGAUGGAGCAACGCCGCGUGAGUGAAGAAGGUUUUCGGAUCGUAAAGCUCUGUUGUUGGUGAAGAAGGAUAGAGGUAGUAACUGGCCUUUAUUUGACGGUAAUCAACCAGAAAGUCACGGCUAACUACGUGCCAGCAGCCGCGGUAAUACGUAGGUGGCAAGCGUUGUCCGGAUUUAUUGGGCGUAAAGCGAGCGCAGGCGGAAGAAUAAGUCUGAUGUGAAAGCCCUCGGCUUAACCGAGGAACUGCAUCGGAAACUGUUUUUCUUGAGUGCAAAAAA